UCCAACAGCCAUAUCACCCUGCAACUCACAAGUGGCAGCCCACUGAAGCUAAGCAGGUAUGAGCUUGGUCAGUACCUGGAUGGGAGACCUCCUGGGAAAAACUAAGGUUGCUGCUGGGA
This is a ribosomal RNA of Lepisosteus oculatus (spotted gar), 119 nucleotides long. The record is from Ensembl. Lineage: Eukaryota; Metazoa; Chordata; Actinopteri; Semionotiformes; Lepisosteidae.